UGUACAAAUAACAAGGUCACGUGAGACACAGCCAUCUACUAACCGUAUACAUACUGGGAACUAUUCUCAGAAGGUGAAGCACUGCUACUUGGGCGGAUGGAUUUGCCAGCAGCAGCU
Molecule: long non-coding RNA, 117 nt
Organism: Etheostoma spectabile (orangethroat darter)
Lineage: Eukaryota; Metazoa; Chordata; Actinopteri; Perciformes; Percidae
Exons: 4
Source: RefSeq, a predicted model, not a curated record